This 468-nucleotide ribosomal RNA is filed under the name uncultured bacterium. RNAcentral's name for it is "partial 16S ribosomal RNA". It matches the Rfam family "Bacterial small subunit ribosomal RNA", at positions 28 to 507 of the family's 1533-position model. The record is from RNAcentral.
GACGAACGCUGGCGGCGUGCUUAACACAUGCAAGUCGAACGGAAAGGCCCUGCUUUUGUGGGUUGCUCGAGUGGCGAACGGGUGAGUAACACGUGUGUAACCUGCCCUUGACUUUGUGAUAACUUCAGGAAACUGUGGCUAAUACCGGAUAGGAUCUCCUGCUGCAUGGUGUGGGUUGGAAAGUUUCGGCGGUUGGGGAUGGACUCGCGGCUUAUCAGCUUGUUGGUGGGGUAGUGGCUUACCAAGGCUUUGACGGGUAGCCGGCCUGUGAGGGUGACCGGCCACAUUGGGACUGAGAUACGGCCCAGACUCCUACGGGAGGCAGCAGUGGGGAAUAUUGCACAAUGGGCGGAAGCCUGAUGCAGCAAAGCCGCGUGCGGGAUGACGGCCUUCGGGUUGUAAACCGCUUUCGCCUGUGAAGAAGAGUGAGUGACGGUAAUGGGUAAAGAAGCACCGGCUAACUACGUG